Molecule: ribosomal RNA, 497 nt
Filed under: uncultured bacterium
Lineage: Bacteria
Description: partial 16S ribosomal RNA
Rfam family: Bacterial small subunit ribosomal RNA
Source: RNAcentral
GAUGAACGCUGGCGGCGUGCCUAAUACAUGCAAGUCGAGCGAACAGACGAGGAGCUUGCUCCUCUGACGUUAGCGGCGGACGGGUGAGUAACACGUGGAUAACCUACCUAUAAGACUGGGAUAACUUCGGGAAACCGGAGCUAAUACCGGAUAAUAUAUUGAACCGCAUGGUUCAAUAGUGAAAGACGGUUUUGCUGUCACUUAUAGAUGGAUCCGCGCCGCAUUAGCUAGUUGGUAAGGUAACGGCUUACCAAGGCGACGAUGCGUAGCCGACCUGAGAGGGUGAUCGGCCACACUGGAACUGAGACACGGUCCAGACUCCUACGGGAGGCAGCAGUAGGGAAUCUUCCGCAAAGGGCGAAAGCCUGACGGAGCAACGCCGCGUGAGUGAUGAAGGUCUUCGGAUCGUAAAACUCUGUUAUUAGGGAAGAACAAAUGUGUAAGUAACUACGCACGUCUUGACGGUACCUAAUCAGAAAGCCACGGCUAACUACGUG